This is a long non-coding RNA of Silurus meridionalis, 449 nucleotides long. RefSeq lists it as uncharacterized. The record is from RefSeq and is a predicted model, not a curated record. The transcript has 2 exons. Lineage: Eukaryota; Metazoa; Chordata; Actinopteri; Siluriformes; Siluridae.
GGUUCUAAAUCAGAACUGCGCUGAUUGGUCAGAACUUCAGCACCCGCCCCUUUUUUUUAUCUCCACUGAAGGUUCCUCCAGAAGGUCCAGCAGAAAAAGAUGCUGCCCAGUGGCUCAUUUAGUCCUUUUAAAGGCAGCUGCAGUCCUGCAUACUGACAUGAGGAAAAAAAGAGAAAAAAGACGAGGCCCCAGGCUCCACAUCAUUCCUCAUAUUUCUUCAAUUAGUCAUGCGUGAAGAUAAGAGAUUCCAAACGCGAGAUUGAGGGCAGAAGCAGGAGAAAUGUUUAUUUUAGCUUUCGAUGACUAGACCAUUUUUCUUUGAAAACUCACAUGAAAUUAAGGGCGGCGUGUUGGCUCCCGUUUCACGCCGUCCAGGUUAUGAUUCACGCCGAUGUCAUCACAUUUCCACUGCGGAACCAUCCAGACAAAGUAAACAGCCUGUUGCUAGA